CCUCACGCCACCUUUAGCUUAUUUCCUUUGAAUUCUCUUUCCAAAAAGCUUAGCUCCAAUCUGUUCUUUCGCAGCCCAUGUCUUAUUUUCUCGAGGUAUCCAAAACAAUGGUGUGAGAACCCAAUAGAAGAGGCAUUUAGACAUGUUCUGCAAACAAUUUCAAAGAAUUUGGAUGGCCUUGUAAUAUUUCCUUGCACCCUUUUUCCUAUUUGUUUAUUUUGUACUGUGCUUUUUGGAGAAAGUGGAAUUUUUAGUUUCUGAUAGUCUUCAUCGUGUAAUAUAAAUUACGGGCAAGUAGGUGCACUGGAUCUUCUGGUGAAAAAGUUGCUACAUUUCUUUUUGUCAAGAGUGGCUAAUUGAUGCUUUCAGUUAAAGGUUCAAUUUCAUGCCUAUACCACCUAGUUAGUUUCUUCUAAACCUAGAUAAAAGCUAUGUUAAUAAUUUUCAGAUCUUUUUAUCAGUCAAAAACUUAAAAUCAAGAUGUCUCAAUUUCAGAUGUUAAUGUUGGAGGCAGUCCAAGUAUAUCUAUCAAAUAUUUACCAAACCACUGCCUUGUUUUCUUGUCAUACAUGGCUUUAAUUAUUUUUUUCAGUGUUUUUCAUUUUCUUUUGGGAUGCUACAUUUUGACACAGGAGGUUAGGGGCCUUGAUUGCCAGAACUCCCAAGCAAUGACAGAAUCAAUGCUGGUUCUAGAUGAUUUUUAUGUCUCAAAAAAAUCAACCUCAAAGCAUAACUCAACAAGGGAAUAUCAAAUGAAGGCUUCCACUAAAUCAUAUGUUGGUUUGCUGAAGUUUGUGCUUCUGUUUGGGUACUUAACACUUCAAGGCUCUCAUCAGGCAUUUGCAGGAACAGAUUUUGCCAGUGGAUUGCAGUCUCUUCCUUAUUUAGGGGACCUUGGUGAUAUUACCACAGGUUUUGCUUCAGUUAGGAGAAUCUCCCUGUACCUUUUGUAACUGACAUUUUAUUAUGGAACUAAAACAAAAAUCGUAGCUGCUUCUAAGAUAAUAUACUGAUUUUCAUUAAUUUUUAAUAUGUUCCAUAAUGUUUAAAUAUGGUAAUUUUAAAUUUAUCACAAAAACAUUUGAGGCAAAGAUUUGACCCAUGUCCUGCCUUCAAUAUUUGUAAGCAAUCCUUUUUUAUGCAAAACUUAAUUUUUUCAUAACAAAACUGAGUCCAAUGUAUGCAUCAUAAAUAAAAGAUAUCAGUCUAAUCUAUUUAUUAUAUUCCUGCAGAAAGAAUAUUGAAAGAAACACACUGUUCAUUUUUCCUUUUAUCACAGAAACUUCUUCAUGCAGAAAUAUCCACCUAUGGCAACUAAAGUCUUCAAUUCUCCUUUUUUGUUUUUUUUGGUGCGUUGUGUGUGUGCAUUACAGGCAUUCUUGCUGAUAUUUUUCUCAGAACUGGGAGACAAGACCUUUUUCAUAGCGGUAAGAAUGAACUAAGUGGAAUUCUGUUGUGAAACACAAUCAUUGAGCCUUUCCAAAUACAACUUUUUUGUUUUAUGCUAGAUCUGCUGUAGAAUUUUUUAAGUUGCAAUCUCAUUACAUAUGGGAGCUCAUUUAGUGCCUUGCUAAGAUUAGAUUUUUGGAACAUACAGCUAAAGGUUAUGUGGAUGUUUUAUGCCUUGUUCAGGCACUUUUAGCAGCUAGGAAUUCUGCUGCAAUUGUUUUCACUGGGACCUUUGGUGCACUUGCGUACGUUUUCUGCUCAAGAAUGGUGAUUUUAGAUGUCCUUUGAAUUUUAACUUUAUCAUAAUGAAACUCUGUAUAGGUCCAUAUAACAAAUGAUUUAGUAUUGUGCCAUGAUAAUUGGAUUGCUUCAGGAAGUGAAUCUUGGAAGGAAGCCUCCUCUACAUUAAAAGUUAGUAAUUUAACAUCAAUAGACUAGCAAUCUUAGCCAAAGUAGGGCUUCCCAACUGACCCUGUGGGGUAUUUUCAUAUAAAAUAUUUAUAUGUUGCAGUGCUUUUUCCUCUUAUCUUCUUAUAGUUGAACCUAAUAUGAAAUCAAAGACCUCAGAAAGCUGUUCUACAAUUCAUGCACAUGCCAUUAUCCAUUUCUAAAAACACUUUUCUUAUUUUACUGCUAUAAAAUAAAGAUGUUGAUUAUAACAGAAGUUCCAUAUGGCAUUGCAGGGCAAUGACUAUCAUAUCCGUUGUUCUUGGACGAAGUUUUCAUUACAUUGAUGAAAUUCUUCCAUUCAAAUUUGGUGAGAAUGAUCUGCCUGUUGAUGAUAUUGCUGCAGUUUGCCUUCUAGUAAAUUUUCUUGUGCCCUGAUUUUUUUUGUUUUAAAGAAACAUACGAUUCCUAGUAAACUCUUAAAUAUAAGCAGCAUAAUGAGCUAAUGUGAGUGAAUUCAGGUAUAUUUUGGGGUUUCAACGCUGAUUGAUGCUAACUCAAGUGAUGGUCUAAAAGCAGACGAUGAAAAAAAGGAGGUGAAAUUUCAAGUUCACUAUAUGAUCUGUUCAGAGUUAACCUCAUCAAUGACAAAUCCCCCUUGGCAAUAUUGAAAGGACAGGAAAAGGGUUGACCUGCCAUGGAUAUUCAGUCAUUGAACUUUGGCCUUUUUUAUCUUUUCCCAAAUGCAUUACAGUCUUCCAGUUACUAUUUAGUGGUCAGAGUUAAUUUGAUCAGAUGUUUUGUUUAUGAUAUGAGCUAGGCAGAGCUAGCAGUUUCAGAAUUCGCAGGAAAUGGUGCUGGCAUUUUAGCAGCUGCUAACACCAUUAUCAGUACUUUCCUCUUGGUUUUUGUUGCUGAAUGGGGUGACAAAUCAUUUUUCUCCACGAUAGCCCUUGCAGCAGCAUCUUCGCCUAUCGGUGUCAUUGGUGGAGCCCUGGCUGGCCAUGGUGUUGCAACUUUGGUAACUUUUUACUUGAAAAAAGAUGUAACCCUAGCUCUGCCUGCAACAGUAGUAGGCUGUCACAUAAGCAUAAAUUGCACAUUUGUUGUAAAAUAAAUAGCCACUCUGCUUUGCAAAAUGUUCUUUGAAGAAUUUACUAUUGCAACAAGUUGAAUGUGCAAAUUUUAUAGUUUCAGUUUGUGGAUAAUAAUAAUAAUUGAAGUAAACGUGUUAUUGAUAGAUUUACCCUAUCUCUUUCUGUUCCCUUUUCUUACAAGAAAGAUGGAUAAUUAAAGUUUUUUUUCCUCACUGCAAAUUCACCAAUUUUUUUCCUUUUCUUCUUUUCACAUGUAAAUUGAUUGGCCAUGCUGAUUUGCAAUUUUAUUUGUACAGAUUGCUGUUUUGGGAGGUUCUUUGCUUGGGACAUUCUUGUCAGAAAAGGUAGAUAUAAAAACUUUCAACACUAUCUACAGUCAAAACACAUUGCAUUGUCUUGUCUCCCUCUCUCUACUGCUCAUUUAUGAUUAUCAUAUGGUGCUAUAAAUUUCCAGCUCUAAUUGACCUUACUUUUGUUUCUCAAAAUAUUUUGUAAAUCAUCUAGGCAUAAAUCAGAAGUUGAAACUUUAUUAGCUACAAAUUUAUUCCAGGAGUUGUCAUAAUAAAUCUCUAUCCAAACUAAUUGGUGACAUCAGCAUCUCAACCUUCUGCCAUAAAUCCUGUACAACUAUAAGCCUCCAACUAAACUCAACAAAGCUUUAAUCCAAACUAGUUGGGGUCAACAAAAUGGAUCAUUUUCUUCAAUUCAACUUGGUUUAUGGCAGCAUCUUCAAGAAGAUUUAGAGCUACUAAGCCCUUAUUCACUCCAUUUUACAUAACAAUUUGUUCUUCAGGUUCUAGAAACACAUAGCAGCCCACUAUCAUAGUACAGAAUUAUUUCAUUAGAAUAUUAGAUUUUUGAUUUCUAUGUGGUGUAAUGAAAGUUGUAAUGGAACUAGUUACCACUACAUUGAAUUUAGCCAUUAGGCUUCAUUUCUAUUUUGGUAUAAAUUGUCUGGUCCAAAGUCUAGAAGCGGCAACAUCAUGUUAUUUGUACCUUGUAAAGGUUCCAUUGUUGGACCAAUGUGAUCAGGCAACCACAUAAAUUUUAUCCCUUGGGACUUCACCAGAAGGAAUAUCUAUGCUAGUGGGCUGCAUGCCUUUGUAGGACAUCUUCAUACCUUGAAAUGAAUUCCCACACAAUCAUGCAUGAAUUCUACUUCUUUUAAAAUAAAAAAUUUUUUAAGUUAAAAAGAAAUUAGUUCUUUCAUUCCAGACAUGAAAAUUAGCAAAAAAGAAAUCAAUUGAAUUGA
This 4185-nucleotide unclassified non-coding RNA is filed under the name Hevea brasiliensis (rubber tree). Lineage: Eukaryota; Viridiplantae; Streptophyta; Magnoliopsida; Malpighiales; Euphorbiaceae. The record is from RNAcentral.